CUACGGGUGGCUCCAGUGAGGAAUAUUGGGCAAUGGACGCAAGUCUGACCCAGCCAUGCCGCGUGCAGGAAGACGGCCCUAUGGGUUGUAAACUGCUUUUGUAUGGGAAGAACUACAGAUACGUGUAUUUGUUUGCCGGUACCAUACGAAUAAGCAUCGGCUAACUCCGUGCCAGCAGCCGCGGUAAUACGGAGGAUGCAAGCGUUAUCCGGAUUUAUUGGUUUAAAGGGUGCGCAGGCGGAACUGUUAGUCAGUGGUGAAAUCUUACGGCUUAACCGUAAAACUGCCAUUGAUACUGCAGAUCUAGAGUUCAUUUGACGUGGGCGGAAUGUAGCAUGUAGCGGUGAAAUGCUUAGAUAUGCUACAGAACACCGAUUGCGAAGGCAGCUCACGAAACUGAAACUGACGCUGAGGCACGAAAGCGUGGGGAGCGAACAGGAUUAGAUACCCCUGUAGUC
Molecule: ribosomal RNA, 458 nt
Filed under: uncultured bacterium
Lineage: Bacteria
Description: partial 16S ribosomal RNA
Rfam family: Bacterial small subunit ribosomal RNA
Source: RNAcentral